Long non-coding RNA from Solenopsis invicta (red fire ant), 1279 nucleotides. RefSeq lists it as uncharacterized. The transcript has 2 exons. The record is from RefSeq and is a predicted model, not a curated record. NCBI's taxonomy places the organism in Eukaryota, Metazoa, Arthropoda, Insecta, Hymenoptera, Formicidae.
GGGCAACGUGCGCCGCGGCGACGGCAGCGGAGCGCCGCCAUACGACGACGCGGCCAGCGGCGCUGGAGGAGGCACCGACGUAGUACGACGCCAUGGGAAAGCGAGGGAAGCGAAGCCGAGCGCGCCAUGACGGGCGACGCCAGCGAGGCGAGGCGAGACAAGGCGAGAAAGGAACGGAAAAUUAUCACCGUCGGCGCUGUCAUCAAUAUGGAGGACACCGUGCGACGAUGCCGCCGUGCUGUUGCGCCGCGUGCCGUCAGGAACCGAGGAAUAGUCUGGCACGGCCCGAGACCGUCCGCCCGUUCGAAUAUCGUGGAAACUUACCGAACGCCGACGUAGGGUACACGACUGUGAAUGCUAGCCAAGCCGAUGAGUCGAUACCAAGCCACCAAAUAUACACGUAAACCCACGAUCGUCGCGUGAGGGCGUUGUAUAAGAGCAAAUAUGGCCGAUCGAACUACGAAGGUUCAAAUGCUGCGCGUUGGCAGCUGCGCACUGGCACGUCACGCGUCACGCUCGCGUGUUUAUAUGCCGCUUGCUCGAUCGUCGUUUCGGCUCGUCCAGGCAUCUUCCGGACGACGCGACGCUAACCUUCCGUCAACAUUCCAGAUGUCCCGAACUCUUGAACUGCAAUUAUUGCAAUUUCAUUCGAACAAAUUUGCAUAAAUGCGCGAUGUAAAUGAGAAAAUCGAUCCGUCGAGUGCGAGGGAUAGUAGUGUCACCGCGAUGCUUUUAUUGAAGACGUAAUCGUUAUUUAUUUUUUUUAUUUUUUUUUUAUAUAAUUGAUUUAAUUUUUUUUUUUUUUUAGAUAUUUUUAAUACGAAGGUACGUCUUCUAAGUAGGCUUUUGUUGCAUCCGGUUUCUCUACACGCGUAACUGUACGCAAGUCGAUAUGGCAGCCAAUCAACUUUCCGCUUUUUCCGGAAUGGCAGAUAUGUAGUAAAAGGCGAUUGGCCAUCGCAUUCGCUUCUUAUUGUAAAAGAUUGAUUGGUUGAUUUUUCUACGCGUUCGCAUUGUGCGAGCCUGUCUUUUCGAGGACGAACUUUAAAAUUGAUUUAAUCAACAGGAAUUCAAGCGAAACACAGACUACCAUCAAUUCGCGUACUUGGUCGCAAAUUCUUUUCUAUUAUUCUAAAUUUGUCAUCAGUAGAUUGCCUGAGAUUAACGUCAAGCUUCAUAUGAACGCAAUUGAUGCCAAUUUUGUUGUAAAUGUUAUUGUUAUUAUUGAAUAUAAUUACAAUGGAAAAUAAAUAAAAUGACAGAAGUCUUUGAGAUUAAA